ACACUGAAGCAAAGGCUGGAUGAUUUGUCAGAGCUGUCAGGAGCGAGCAGAUGUGGCAAAGAGACCGGGCAGGGAGGCUGAGUGUGGUCUCCCUGGGACAGGACAGAGCAGUGGUUACCAGCUGUGCUCAGGAACUGCCUGCUCCCCUGCAGUGGGAGCAGCUGGACAGGGAAUUUGACCCAGGGAGGAAAGGGAGGGCAAGGCAGGGAAAAAGAUGCAAUUUUGAGGAAGAAGCUAAUUUUAUAAUAAUGUAAAUUUUCCCAAUGAAUAUCUAGGUAAAAUGCCUAGAAAUAGUUGGAAAUACAAAUCUAGAGCUAAAUAAUUCUGUUAAUUUAUAAACUUAAUGCCAACAUUCACUAGUAAUAGAAUAAGGAUUUUGUUUAGAAUAACUCAAUUUGUAAAUACCAGUUCAUCAUGUAAUUCACCCCUCUCCCCAGCAAAACACAAAGGGAAGCUCUAGAAAACUUGAACAGGGAGAGCAGUAGAGAACACCCGUGUGAACUGAAAGGAAAACUACUUAAUUCUAAUCUGAACAUCCGUGUAAUUUUAAGAAUACUGGAGCCAGAUAUGGGCAUCAGAAAAAUGGCAAAUUAUUAUGUGUCUGAGACCUUCAGGAUUCUUCCUGAAGAUGCAAAAUGGCAGUUGUUAAAAUCAUUUAAAAAUGUAAAAAUCUUCAUACUCAGGGAUGACUGAGGAAGUCAAAUCCGUGGAGAAAUAGACCAGGAAGAAUUUACAGAAUAUGAAGUUUAUAAGGAAGAGAAGAAAAACUCAACAUAUUCAUUCAUAUUCUAGAAUGCGACCCAAUUUUUGUAAGUAAAUAUGAACCACUACAUGCAGGAGGCAUUGACUUGACACGCAAGACAUGUUGUGGACACUAUGGAUGUGUGUCCACUGCCCUAAUCCAUGCAAAAACCUCCUGAAGUGGGUAUUUCCGUUACCAGCUCUUCUGAGAUGAGGGGACCGAGGCCCAGGAGCGUCAAAGAUCACGGCAGCGAGGAGCCAGGGUUUGAACCAGGCAGAGCCAUGUAAUUGCCCUGCCAGUAACAGUGCGCCAUCCUGCCUCCCUCACUCCACCAAAGGAGCUCCAAAUUACCAGGCAAAGGUGCAGGGCAGCAUGUGGGCAAAUGGACAAGCAUUAGUUAGGAAAUUGGGGCUUAGGAGGUCUGUGUUCUGCAGAUAGUUCCGUUACAGAACUGCUUUAUGCCUGGUCUGCAACCUGAGCCGACUCGGAGAGCAAAUAACCUCAGGGCUAGAAUGUGAGUAGAGAGAAUGAAAAGUCCAAAGGUCAACAAGCCCAGAGCAGAAUCCAGGAAGUGUGAUAUUUUACUUUGUAGAGGAGGCAUUAGCCCCAGUGACUUCCCAAAGGUCUGCUCCUGUGGAAAGAGAGCCCCAUGACAGACUUCUCCCUCCUUGUACCCUGGGGGAAAGUAGUGGGACAGGGCUGUGGGAGGGAAAGUCUGCCAAUCAUUUGGCUCAAGCCCACUAAGAUUUAACAGGCAGCCAGCUCUUUGCCUCUUGUUGCUGUGUGUGAUCUGCUCUCUGGCAUGCUCUGAACAUAGGCCUGUUUUCCCUUCGUUGUACCAAGGAGAUCUUGUUGAUCAGUUUGUAUGAACGUUAAAGGAAAUGAUCACCCCUUUAAAAGAUAUUUAUUUAUUUAUUUAAAAGAGUAGAAGGAGAGGAAGAGCGAGAACCUCCAACCACUGGUUCACUCCCCAGAUGGCCGCAACGGCCAGAGCUGUGCCGAUCUGAAGCCAGGAGCCAAGAGACAGGAGCUUCUUCCGGGUCUCCCACAUGGGGCAGGGGCCCAAGGACUUGGGCCAUCUUCCACUGCUUUCCCAGGCCAUAGCAGAGAGCUGGAUCGGAAGUGGAGCAGCCGAAACUAGAACUGGCUCCCAUAUGGGAUGCCGGCACUGCAGGUCGUGGCUUUACCCACUAAGCCGCAGCGCCGGCCACUCACCCUUUUUCAUAAAUGGGUUUAACUGACUUUGUGACUUAGUUAUUGCCAAAUCAUUGCAGAAGAAGAUGGAGGAGCAUCCAUUUUUGUAACAAACAUUCACUUCCAAUAAAGGGCGGCAUGUGGGAGAAUGGACUCUGGAG
RNAcentral lists this long non-coding RNA (2097 nucleotides) under Oryctolagus cuniculus (rabbit). Its description in RNAcentral is "lncRNA (ENSOCUG00000033347.1)". The record is from RNAcentral. Lineage: Eukaryota; Metazoa; Chordata; Mammalia; Lagomorpha; Leporidae.